Molecule: ribosomal RNA, 467 nt
Filed under: uncultured bacterium
Lineage: Bacteria
Description: partial 16S ribosomal RNA
Rfam family: Bacterial small subunit ribosomal RNA
Source: RNAcentral
GACGAACGCUGGCGGCGUGCUUAACACAUGCAAGUCGAACGGAAAGGCCCUGCUUUUGUGGGGUGCUCGAGUGGCGAACGGGUGAGUAACACGUGAGUAACCUGCCCUUGACUUUGGGAUAACUUCAGGAAACUGGGGCUAAUACCGGAUAGGAGCUCCUGCUGCAUGGUGGGGGUUGGAAAGUUUCGGCGGUUGGGGAUGGACUCGCGGCUUAUCAGCUUGUUGGUGGGGUAGUGGCUUACCAAGGCUUUGACGGGUAGCCGGCCUGAGAGGGUGACCGGCCACAUUGGGACUGAGAUACGGCCCAGACUCCUACGGGAGGCAGCAGUGGGGAAUAUUGCACAAUGGGGGAAGCCUGAUGCAGCAACGCCGCGUGCGGGAUGACGGCCUUCGGGUUGUAAACCGCUUUCGCCUGUGACGAAGCGUGAGUGACGGUAAUGGGUAAAGAAGCACCGGCUAACUACGUG